Molecule: ribosomal RNA, 531 nt
Filed under: Cottus sp. 'Nippenose Valley' (Pennsylvania grotto sculpin)
Lineage: Eukaryota; Metazoa; Chordata; Actinopteri; Perciformes; Cottidae
Description: partial 16S ribosomal RNA
Rfam family: Bacterial large subunit ribosomal RNA
Source: RNAcentral
UAAGAGGUCCCGCCUGCCCUGUGACUAUUUGUUUAACGGCCGCGGUAUUUUGACCGUGCAAAGGUAGCGCAAUCACUUGUCUUUUAAAUGAAGACCCGUAUGAAUGGCAUAACGAGGGCUUAACUGUCUCCUCUUUCCAGUCAAUGAAGUUGAUCUUCCCGUGCAGAAGCGGGAAUAUAAUCAUAAGACGAGAAGACCCUAUGGAGCUUUAGACACAAAAGCAGCCCACGUUAAACACCCCAAAUAAGGGACUAAACCAAGGGGGCCCUGCCCUAAUGUCUUUGGUUGGGGCGACCGCGGGGAAUUAAAGAACCCCCACGUGGAAUGGGCACACUUUUCCUACAACUAAGAGCUACAGCUCUAGAAAACAGAAUUUCUGACCAACAAGAUCCGGCAAUGCCGAUCAACGGACCGAGUUACCCUAGGGAUAACAGCGCAAUCCUCUUUUAGAGCCCAUAUCGACAAGGGGGUUUACGACCUCGAUGUUGGAUCAGGACAUCCUAAUGGUGCAGCCGCUAUUAAGGGUUCGUU